Long non-coding RNA from Austrofundulus limnaeus, 1010 nucleotides. RefSeq lists it as uncharacterized. The record is from RefSeq and is a predicted model, not a curated record. Lineage: Eukaryota; Metazoa; Chordata; Actinopteri; Cyprinodontiformes; Rivulidae. The transcript has 3 exons.
CAAAGAGGAGCCAGCUGGGCUCACAUCUCCCAGCAGCACAGCUCCUGUUUUCCGYCCAGAGACACUGCAGCACUUUGAGUCCGGACGCUCCGUUUCCUCCCCACUUUGUGGGAACGGGAAGCGGCCGAAUUGUUCUGGAGCUGACUGAGGUUUAAUCAUUGAUGAGCACCAACUGCCAGGAGAGAGAGGACAAACAUGACCCCCAUCCCGGGACACCCAGAGGACGGUGUCCCGAGUCAAAGAGCCUCUCCUAAACAAGGCAGGGACAGAGAUGAAGCUUCAGGAACAGAUGCAUCCGAGAAAACAUCAACAGCAAAUUCACCUCUAGAAGCUGUGCCUUCUGUUUCUGAUGUAUCUCUGAUGGGUUCACCGACUGGACUUUGUACAAAAAUAAAGAUUUCUUUGGACAGGAAGGAAAACAUAACACCCUGUUUUGUUCUGGUUUUAUUUUUGUCUUCAUUAUCUCACUUUCAAUGUAGCUGAGUUAAAAAAAAAACAACAAACUAAAAAAAAACAACUUUUACAACAGAUGAUAAAUUACUAAAUUUUUAUUCUUAUUUCUGUUUUUAAUAUUAUUCUUAUUUUUAUUUUUAUUCUUAAAAGGUAGCCUAUAUUUCAUAUUUAUUAUGUUAUAUCACUUAGCCAGUUCCCGUCAAGUCAAAAUAAAUAUGAUUGUGCCAAUUCACAACUAAACUCCAGGGCAGCAAACAAACAUACAAAACGUAAAAUUAUYUAAUUUGAUUUAAAAUUAUUGUCCAUUCAAUCCAAUUAUGAAGCAACCCAAUCACAUUCAGCUCAUUAUGAAAUGCUCAUUAGAAAACAAGACAAUUUAUAAAAUUAUUAUGAUUGUUGUUGAGUCAGUGGGACAGUGGGACCCCUCAGAUCACUUGCCCUAUGUUCACAUUUUGACUUGUUCAGAUUUCGUUGUUGUUGUUGUUGUUGUUGUUGUUGUUGUUGUUGUUGUUAUUAUUCUUUGUUAGACUUUUCAUAAUAAAAAGGUCGACUCUGAA